RNAcentral lists this unclassified non-coding RNA (351 nucleotides) under soil metagenome. RNAcentral describes it as "partial contains 5.8S ribosomal RNA, internal transcribed spacer 2, and large subunit ribosomal RNA". The stretch from base 1 to 119 matches the Rfam family "5.8S ribosomal RNA", at positions 35 to 154 of the family's 154-position model. The record is from RNAcentral.
GAUGAAGACGUAGCGAAAUGCGAUAAGUAAUGUGAAUUGCAGAAUUCAGUGAAUCAUCGAAUCUUUGAACGCACAUUGCGCCCGCCAGUAUUCUGGCGGGCAUGCCUGUUCGAGCGUCAUUACAACCCUCAGGCCCCCGGGCCUGGCGUUGGGGAUCGGCGGAGCCCCCCGUGGGCACACGCCGUCCCCCAAAUGCAGUGGCGGUCCCGCCGCAGCUUCCAUCGCGUAGUAGCUAACACCUCGCGACUGGAGAGCGGCGCGGCCACGCCGUAAAACACCCAACUCUUCUGAAGUUGACCUCGAAUCAAGUAGGAAUACCCGCUGAACUUAAGCAUAUCAAUAAGCGGAGGA